This 68-nucleotide transfer RNA is filed under the name Stenamma megamanni. Its description in RNAcentral is "tRNA-Met". Lineage: Eukaryota; Metazoa; Arthropoda; Insecta; Hymenoptera; Formicidae. The record is from RNAcentral.
AAAUAAGUAAGCUAAUCAAAGCUCCUAGGUUCAUACCCUAGAUAUAGAUGAAUUUAAUCUCUUAUUUA